This 439-nucleotide ribosomal RNA is filed under the name uncultured bacterium. RNAcentral describes it as "partial 16S ribosomal RNA". It matches the Rfam family "Bacterial small subunit ribosomal RNA", at positions 339 to 795 of the family's 1533-position model. The record is from RNAcentral.
CUACGGGAUGCUGCAGUGGGGAAUAUUGCACAAUGGGGGAAACCCUGAUGCAGCAACGCCGCGUGGAAGAUGACGCAUUUCGGUGUGUAAACUCCUUUUAUCAGUCAAGAACAUGACGGUAGCUGAUGAAUAAGCACCGGCUAACUCCGUGCCAGCAGCCGCGGUAAUACGGAGGGUGCAAGCGUUACUCGGAAUCACUGGGCGUAAAGGAUGCGUAGGCUGGAUGUCAAGUCAUAAGUGAAAUCCCACGGCUUAACCGUGGAACUGCUUGUGAAACUGGCAGUCUAGAAUGUGGGAGAGGCAGAUGGAAUUAGUGGUGUAGGGGUAAAAUCCGUAGAGAUCACUAGGAAUACCGAUUGCGAAGGCGAUCUGCUGGAACAUCAUUGACGCUGAGGCAUGAAAGCGUGGGGAGCAAACAGGAUUAGAUACCCCAGUAGUC